UCUGACCACCCGAGACGGUCUAGAUUUCUGACGGACGGUCUAAACUUACAGCUGGCCAGCCUGAUGGUCUCGAAAAAAAUUCAGAUAAUAUGUUCCAUACA
Molecule: long non-coding RNA, 101 nt
Organism: Haliotis rubra (blacklip abalone)
Lineage: Eukaryota; Metazoa; Mollusca; Gastropoda; Lepetellida; Haliotidae
Exons: 3
Source: RefSeq, a predicted model, not a curated record